RNAcentral lists this ribosomal RNA (253 nucleotides) under uncultured prokaryote. Its description in RNAcentral is "partial 16S ribosomal RNA". It matches the Rfam family "Bacterial small subunit ribosomal RNA", at positions 525 to 777 of the family's 1533-position model. The record is from RNAcentral.
ACAGAGGGUGCGAGCGUUAAUCGGAAUUACUGGGCGUAAAGCGUGCGUAGACGGUUACAUAAGUCGGGUGUGAAAGCCCCGGGCUCAACCUGGGAAUUGCAUUCAAGACUGUCUUGCUAGAGUGUGGAAGAGGGAAGCGGAAUUCCAGGUGUAGCGGUGAAAUGCGUAGAUAUCUGGAGGAACAUCAGUGGCGAAGGCGGCUUCCUGGUCCAACACUGACACUGAGGUGCGAAAGCGUGGGGAGCAAACAGGA